This 70-nucleotide transfer RNA is filed under the name Cantherhines pullus (orangespotted filefish). RNAcentral describes it as "tRNA-Trp". It matches the Rfam family "tRNA". Rfam says of the family: Transfer RNA (tRNA) molecules are approximately 80 nucleotides in length. Lineage: Eukaryota; Metazoa; Chordata; Actinopteri; Tetraodontiformes; Monacanthidae. RNAcentral also lists the same sequence under 2 other names. The record is from RNAcentral.
AGAGGCUUAGGCUAAUACAGACCUAGGGCCUUCAAAGCCCUCAGUGGGAGUGAAAAUCUCUCAGCCUCUG